UACGAAGGGAGCUAGCGUUGUUCGGAAUUACUGGGCGUAAAGGGCGCGUAGGCGGUUCGACAAGUUGGAUGUGAAAGCCCUGGGCUCAACCCGGGAAUUGCAUUCAAUACUGUCUUACUAGAAUUCGGUAGAGGUUGGUAGAAUUCCCAGUGUAGAGGUGAAAUUCGUAGAGAUUGGGAAGAAUACCCGUGGCGAAGGCGGCCAACUGGACCGACAUUGACGCUGAGGCGCGAAAGCGUGGGUAGCAAACAGG
Molecule: ribosomal RNA, 253 nt
Filed under: uncultured bacterium
Lineage: Bacteria
Description: partial 16S ribosomal RNA
Rfam family: Bacterial small subunit ribosomal RNA
Source: RNAcentral